CGCACAAGCGGUGGAGCAUGUGGUUUAAUUCGAAGCAACGCGAAGAACCUUACCAGGUCUUGACAUCCUUUGACCACUCUAGAGAUAGAGCUUCCCCUUCGGGGGCAAAGUGACAGGUGGUGCAUGGUUGUCGUCAGCUCGUGUCGUGAGAUGUUGGGUUAAGUCCCGCAACGAGCGCAACCCUUAUUGUUAGUUGCCAUCAUUCAGUUGGGCACUCUAGCAAGACUGCCGGUGACAAACCGGAGGAAGGUGGGGAUGACGUCAAAUCAUCAUGCCCCUUAUGACCUGGGCUACACACGUGCUACAAUGGGAAGUACAACGAGUUGCGAAGUCGCGAGGCUAAGCUAAUCUCUUAAAGCUUCUCUCAGUUCGGAUUGCAGGCUGCAACUCGCCUGCAUGAAGCCGGAAUCGCUAGUAAUCGCGGAUCAGCACGCCGCGGUGAAUACGUUCCCGGGCCUUGUACACACCGCCCGUCACACCACGAGAGUUUGUAACACCCGAAGUCGGUGAGGUAACCUUUUUGGAGCCAGCCGCCUAAGGUGGGAUAGAUGAUUGGGGUGAAGUCGUAA
This 569-nucleotide ribosomal RNA is filed under the name Enterococcus lactis. RNAcentral's name for it is "bacterial SSU rRNA". It matches the Rfam family "Bacterial small subunit ribosomal RNA", at positions 922 to 1491 of the family's 1533-position model. The record is from RNAcentral. Lineage: Bacteria; Bacillati; Bacillota; Bacilli; Lactobacillales; Enterococcaceae.